CAGUCGCCGCGGUAAUACAGAGGAUGCAAGCGUUAUCCGGAAUGAUUGGGCGUAAAGCGUCUGUAGGUGGCUUUUCAAGUCCGCCGUCAAAUCCCAGGGCUCAACCCUGGACAGGCGGUGGAAACUACCAAGCUGGAGUACGGUAGGGGCAGAGGGAAUUUCCGGUGUAGCGGUGAAAUGCGUAGAUAUUAGGAAGAACACCAGUGGCGAAGGCGGCUUUCUGGACUGUAACUGACGCAGAGGCUCGAAAGCCAGGGGAGCGAACGGGAUUAGAUACCCCAGUAGUCCCUGUCUCUUAUAC
RNAcentral lists this ribosomal RNA (301 nucleotides) under uncultured bacterium. RNAcentral's name for it is "partial 16S ribosomal RNA". It matches the Rfam family "Bacterial small subunit ribosomal RNA", at positions 509 to 807 of the family's 1533-position model. The record is from RNAcentral.